CAGUAGCCGCGGUAAUACGAAGGGUGCAAGCGUUACUCGGAAUUACUGGGCGUAAAGCGUGCGUAGGUGGUGGUUUAAGUCCGUUGUGAAAGCCCUGGGCUCAACCUGGGAAUUGCAGUGGAUACUGGGUCACUAGGGUGUGGUAGAGGAUAGUGGAAUUUCCGGUGUAGCAGUGAAAUGCGUAGAGAUCGGAAGGAACAUCUGUGGCGAAGGCGACUAUCUGGGCCAACACUGACACUGAGGCACGAAAGCGUGGGGAGCAAACAGGAUUAGAUACCCCCGUAGUCCCUGUCUCUUAUAC
RNAcentral lists this ribosomal RNA (301 nucleotides) under uncultured bacterium. Its description in RNAcentral is "partial 16S ribosomal RNA". It matches the Rfam family "Bacterial small subunit ribosomal RNA", at positions 509 to 807 of the family's 1533-position model. The record is from RNAcentral.